GACAGGAGGGUUCCAACUGAGAGCCUGGUCCUCUUCCUACCUGGCCACUCUCUUACAUUUGGGACCAUCUGCAGGGCUUGGGAGGAUGGAAACACAAAGCCGGCAUAGAAUACUACUGACCCUCCCCACAAUGUCAAGAACUACGUCACAUAGGGAAACACACAAAGUAGCUAAUUCUGUCAAAGCCGCACCAGAAGGAUCCAGAAUAGGAUCUUACUAUUGAGGGCACUGCUGGGCUGGGUGCCCAAAUACUCUUUUUGGCCCCUUGGCUCUCUGGACCACAGCAUGUACCCAGGGAAGACAUAUGCCUCUGCACCCCAGAUGGAAGACAGUUCCCAAAGAGUUAUCUGAAUUUGAUGGUACCCUUUACAGACAAAUAUGAAAGAACAGGUUCAUAGGCGUGGUUUCUAUGUGCUGAGAUCUAUCAAUAGGCCUCCAAAUUAACAAACCUUUGUGCUGGACUUUAACUUUGUGACCCCAUGGUGCUUCCCACACUAGAGUGCUCCGAAGUCAAGGAGAGCAAGGAGACAGGUCCUCUGGGGCUCAGCUGGAGGAACUGCAAAUGGAGUCACUUCCUUAAGGCCUCACACAGCACGGGACACCACAAGCAUGGCACAGCCCCCUGCUAUCCCACACAAAACUGACAUGACAGUAAUUUUCAGGAGGUUUUUAUUUUUAAUGGAUAAAAAGUUUACUUAAAAGAAUUUUUCAUGAAUGAUAAGAGAAAUGACUUGUAACAAAACUAUAAACUGGGAGGGACCUUCUAGUGGAUGCCCAUGUGGGCUCCGGGCCGCUCUAAUUUAUUCUCAGUACUUUUAAUCCAGUGAAUAUUUUGUAAAGGGAGUUAUUUUUUGUAUUAAGGAAACAAUAGAAAGCCAGGCAGGAGCAUAAUAACUAAAAAGACUUGUUUUCUUUUCUGUCUCAGUCCACGUUCCCACCCUUGCCCUUUUGAUAGAAAGAAGACAGAAUAAAAUAUGUUCAUUAUUGUCCGUUUCUCAGCAGAGGCACAGAGGGUAGGACUGCCAACAGGGGUCCCCUACCUACCCCCCACAGCCAUGUGCAUGCCUCUCUGCCAGCCCCCUUUAAAGUUUACAGUGACAGAGAAACUUCUCAGAUUAAACCCUUCAUAGGCCACACAGGAGCUUCUACCUGGUGGCAGCGUAGACAACAGCCUACUGCUUGAUCCUGCCACUUCCUGAGGCUUCGAAGUGAAACCUCUUAGUUCUCAGUGAAAUUGAACAUUUUUAUUUAAUUUAUCACCAUUAUCAUCAUCACCACCACCCCCCUGAUCAUCAUAUUUGUACCUGUGCAUGUGUGCACACAUGAGUACAUGCACACGUGGGUGCAAGAUCAGAGGAAAGCCUUCAGGGUUUGGUCUUCUCUUUCCACUGUGUUGUCUGGGGUUUGAACUUGGGUUUUCAGGUUUGUGCGGCAAGUGCUUUUACCUGCUGGGCCAUCUAGUAGUCCUGUCUGCGAAGUGUUCACAGGAAGCCCAGGCAAAAGCUGACGCGGAACCUUGUCGCUGUCUGCAUGCAUUUGGGUUUAGGGCAUAUAUUCUCAUGUUUCUAGAGAUAAAAGCUGUGAUUUCUCUAGGUUAUUUCUGAGCUGGCUUCCCAAAUGCAACUGCACCACCUGGACACUUGGCUGUUAGGUAACUGUCUGUUCCAUGAGUAGAAGUAGCCAUAAGGACGAGCUAGCUUAACCUGACAGCUAAGGUGUCCAGCCCGAGGGCCCAAGCGAGGGCUGAGCAGACAGACUCUCCUGAAGGUUUCUCCACCAUGCUAAGGGAAAGAGCAGCCCCUUACAUUAUCAGUCAGGAGACAACCGGCUUCAUACUCUUAGAGAUGCCCUUGGAAUCCAUCAGCCCUCUAAUGUGACGAGUGGUCUCUGGGGGUCUGUACCUCUAUUCUGCUAUUACUAACAGCAAAGCUGCAAACGCAAGCCUGCUCUGUCGAGCUAACCCCACAUCCUCUGAUAACACCGCAUUAGGAUCAUCAACAUCCAGCCCUGUGCCUAGCCCAUUUGACUCUGCAUCUGACAUCUAGCUCAUCUUUCUAGGACUUGGGGCUUUGAACAGCUGAGUCAUCAAAGGGCCAAAGACUCCAGCCGCACAGAAGAGAUGGAAGACUGUGCCAUAUGCAGCAUCUCUUUUCCGUAUGGGUACCGCUAGGUACUUCUUAGCAUAGGCCGUGCCGUGUUGGGGUAAGCCCAUCCAGGGUGUGUACUCUGAGGGUGUCUGCUGAGAUCAGGAGGUACUUUGCGUAAACUGUGUCAUUCACUAUCAGAGUGCCUCUGCUUCGGUCCCACUGUGGGCUAAAAGAAUUUCUAUCCUGUCCUCACACACAUUUUGAGCUUACAUCUUAGGGAAGGUGAUGGGUAAUGCCAACACUUCCUUUCCCACAGUGAGCUCUUCGUUUAAAGGAUAAGAGACAAGCAUAACUAACCUUGCAUCAACACACAGUAUUGGCGGGACAUUCUCUUCCCACACUGCAUCUUAUUCCAUCUAAUACAAUGCAUAUAGCAUCCUGAUUAAUCCCCACAUGGUAAUCCUGUGAGAAAGACAUUAUCUCUUCUUUGGACACUGAGGAAAUCGAAGCAUAGAGGUUGGGUAGGAAAACAGCCCAACGGCAGAGAAGUAAGGAAACCUACCUUCAAGCAUACUCCACUGUGUACCUCACUAAAGCUCCAUCUUUGGUGUGUUAUUGCUCUCUUGCCUUUGGGACACCUAAACAUGCAUGCUCACCUACACAUAUGCAAUUGAGUGGAGGAGGGGUGUGUAGAGACAAGACUUCCGUGGUACUCUCCAAUGGCAGCAGGGAGUGGAGAGAGCCUUCCAGUGGCAUCAAUGAGGUAUUUAGUUGGGUGUGGGAUCCAGGGAGUCUCCUUGUCUUCUAAUGUUCCUGUUUUAAGUAUUGACAGAUGGGUUUGUAAUACCAUGUCUCUAAGACUCCUUUGGGCUUCGACAUGGCAGCACAAACACCUUGCAUGUCCACUACCAUUGACUGUGGUGAAUGACCACACAUGUCCCAGCUGUCCUUGAGGGGAGCCAGGAGGAGUGCAGGGGAAAGCAGCUUCACUCCUAUACCCCUCCUGGACCGUCCACGCCACAGGACCUCCAAUUCAGACACACAAAGAACAAAAUUCCUGGUACAAGGGCAGUGCUCCCAGCCAGAUGGAUACAAUCAGGCCCGCGUGGAGGCUUUCUAUUUGCCGCUAGGAUUCCAGCUAGGGGCACCUGCUGUGUAGUAUUUUGAGAAAGGCUGUUCAGUCUUGAAACUGAAAACUCAUUAAGCAUCAUCUACAAGAUUUCACACUGCAUGCAAAUCACUUCCUGCUGCCCUUGGUCAACUCAGAAAGCAGUAGCUUUUUCUCUUUCCAAUUUCCCUGCCGAUUCCCUUCACAGCCCAUGGCCUCUGAGUUACUCGUGGAAUCUCAGUUAAAAGUCAGUUCUCAGAAAGCCCUUUCAAUAUGGAAGUACCAGGUUACCAUUAGGUAAGGGUGUGUUUUACAGAUGAUGGUGGCAAGACACCUUUCCAAAGUCUGGGUACUGCCUGUGAAGACAGGCACACCAGUGUCCCCAGAUCCCUUGUAAAACCACAUUUCCCUAGAAACAGCUAUGUCUCUUACAUACUAGCUGUUUUGUUUAUUUUAACCAUAAGAUAUUGGACUAUAAAAAAAAUCUGAUCAAUAGGGUAUUUAUAUCUAUAUUUUAAAUGUACUCUAGCUAUAAUUAUAACUAUUAAAUAUUAGCAACAGUAUUCUCCACUAAAUAAAUUUUGUCUUGUUUACUUUUCAUAAGGACACAAAAUUGAGUGGUAUUCAGACUUUUAGAGACACAUUCAGACUAAAUAACACUGCAAUAGGCAGGCUGGCCCCGCUUACAUUUCAAGGUGGCUAUGCCCUAAUGACACAUCAUGGAGGAGAUAAGGACACAACAAUUAAGCCCAGCUAAUCAGGGAACAUGAAUAUUUCAGUGCACGCUAAAUACAAAUGUGAUCCCUGGGGCAGAACAUCCCCCACCGAGAAUCACACGAACAUGAGUAACAGAGUUUCUCGACAAGGACUGCAUUGUUCAUAAAUUUUUAUAUCGAUCCAAUUUAGCAGGUAUUGAAUUCCCCAUUCUAGAGAAAACCAAGUAGUUUUAAUGGUGCAACAGUCAAUAAACUCCACAGAUCAGAAUAGGCCAGUGUAAUUUUAUGGUGACAGCUGAAGCACUCUGAAGGACCCUAGGCUUUUGGGUUUUUGUUUUUUGUGGAAGGAAAACAAUGUCUUUUCCUGGGGAAAGCAGGUGAAGGUUCAGAGAGCACGUGUUUGCACAUCUGCACACAUGCACACAAACACACACAGGGCUUCUUCACUUGUCACUCAAGGAAUAUGCUUCCAGACUUUCAAUUAAAGUAUAGGGCCAGAUGUUAUGCUGCGUAUUCAAGAAUUCAGGACAAUUAUUUCUAAAUGUAUUCCCAGCUUCUUAAAGAUACCUUAAUGUGCAUUAUUUCAUUUAAAUAAAAUACUCGUCAAAGGCUUGCUGCCAGGACAUGCCCCUAUUCCUGUCAAGGUACAGGCAAGUCCUGGCUGGCUUGACUUCCCCAAGGCAUGCUGACAGAUGGGCCACUGCCCAGAUGCCUCCUAUAGCUAAUUCAAAGCCUCUGGCCAGAGGAGAGGAGCCAGACUUCAACUCUACUCCUAGCUGGCUCUUGAACAGCCUUGCUGAUAGCUUCAGAGAAAGUGAGAGGCCAGAAGAGACGAAAGGAUUAGGAUUCAAAUUCUCUCUCUUUGCACAGGACCAUAGCCUAGUCAGUAUCAUCCAACCCUGGAACACCUUGAUCUCGAGCAGGAAGAAUAUUGGAAAGAGCAGUGUGGAGGCAACUAAGGAGAGCGGCAGAAUAAUGGACGAGGUUAUUCAAAACCCCAUCCUUGGGGAACAUUCCUGAAGCCUCACUCUACUCAUCUGUAGACGGGCACAAUGCUGAUGCAUGCAGAGCUCUGAACUGCAAUGCAGUACCCAAUGCUGCAGGUAAAUUUCUGGACCACAAAGCCAGCUGCCACACAGAGGCAUGGCUGUGACCACCAUGGCCAUCGUGGCCAUGCGACUUCCGUUUAUCUCCUAAAAGGUGUCAAGGUAAAAUUGGACUUUGAAGGCACUAGUAGGUCAUUCUCCUGUCUUCCACUUUACACAAUCCCUGGUGAAGCAACCAAAUUGACUCUCCUCCACAGGGCGACCUAGAUCACACCAAUCACAGUAGGCUAUACUUUGCCUUUCAACAUGUGGAAUUGAAUCAUAAGCUCCCUGUCCCACUGGGUGGGCAGGUAGGCAGGAAGGCAGAGUGCAGCACAAGAAUCCUUGACAGCCUGGGAAGAGACAUCGCCCCACCACACCUAGUCCACACCCCACUUCCUGCCUGCUCCUGCCUUUUGAGGGGAGAUGCUCAAAACCUACACACCAACCUCAAAAGGAGCUACCACAUACAGUAUCUCAAAGACAAAAGAGAAAUGAAGAAUGUACUGUAAUCUAGCACACAAUGGUCUGUUCAUGUAAAGACAAAAGGUGAGCUAAAAAGCUGUGACACACACUGGGGGCGUGAGGCUGACACACACAAUACACACACAUACACACACGCAUGCACGCACACACUAUUAUGAACACACAUACACAAUAACUUGGUGAUUAUUAUUUCAUACAGGAAUGCAACAUUCCUCUGAUUCUUCUGACCAUCCCCAUCUAUCUUCCAUUGACCACCAGAGACAAGUUUUCCCUUUUAUUAUUUUUGUAUUUCUUUUUCACAGCACUUGGUGGUAUCUGACAUGGAUUUGCUUCAGUUUUUACUUUGGGAGUCUUGGAACCAGCCAGUGGACAAGACGGACGAUAUUUAUUGAAUGAAUAAAUAGAGGCAAAAUUAAAAUCCAAAGGAAAAAAUAGACAUUCUCCUUACUCAUACUAUCUACAGAUCAUAUAAUCUAUAUAAAAGCUGACAGGUAGGGCCGGGCAGUGGUGGCGCACACCUUUAAUCCCAGCACUUGGGAGGCAGAGGCAGGAGGAUUUCUGAGUUCGAGGACAGCCUGGUCUACAAAGUGAGUUCCAGGAUAGCCAGGGUUAUACAGAGAAACCCUGUCUCAAAAAACCAAAAAAAAGAAGAAGAAAAAAAAAAGCUGACAGGCUUUUUUUUUUUUUUUUUUUGUACAAAUACACUUACUAUAGCUUGUAUGAAACAGUGUGGUUAAAAUAGAACACCUUUUUACUUGCAAGUCUGCAAUAAGUGCAAGCAACAUUCCCAGACUAUCUCUGCAAGGUGUUCAGGUAGCUUUUUCAUGUCCUUCUCUCUGACCCCGUGAACAUGAUUACUUUCCUUGUCCCUGUUUACUGAGCAUUCUGGAGAAUAUAAAGAAGCCUACAUGUUACCACAGCCCUCUAUGUAGUGUAUCCAGGGAGGUAAAACACGGCUAGGAAGCUCUUAUGUUCUCUCUUUGAUGAUGUCUAAAGAAGGGAGAGGCUAUGAUGCAAGUAAAGGCAUCCUGGAGCCUAUAGCCAAGCAAGGCAGUUCCACCUGGAAGGAGUCUGUUCUUGUGAGCGAGCCAUGCACCCACCAAACCAGGGAUCCCCCUCCCCCAUCUGCCAGCGCUAGUCUAGCCAGGCCCUAUGUGCUUCUCAAUCCCUUGCUAAAUCCCAAAGCUGUCAGAGCUGCAGCUCCAUGCAAGCGAGCCACAGAAGCCUGCGGUUUAUGUCUGGCUAGACAGCAUUCCAGCCCCUUUCCUCAAGGAGUGCUUCUCCCUUGAAGCCAGCCUAUCCUCCCACUUUGUGUCUAGAAACCACAACACAACAGCAAUUUGGAUAGGCAUGCCACAGCUCAGCAUUAUUUUAGCACACAGCAUGGACCCUCCCUUCUCUCCUCCACUUGAAUUUUAUCGUUUACAGCCUUGCCAGUGCGCGUGUACUCUUACGAAAUGAUUUUCUUCUGUUUUCCUUCCUCUUAGUACCCAGGCCAACUCUGAAGUUAAUAGAGCAGGCACAGUUAGCAGACUUCGCUGACUAUAGGUGAGACAGCAAAAGGCACAGAGGAGACUCCUAAAUCUUCACUAUUCAGCUGUGACCGCACUCAUCGACACCCUGAGAAGGAACAAAGUAACAAGAGCCUACUAGCCUACUAGCUCAGGAAAGAAACACUGUGUUGGCCCCGGUAUCUGUGACUCCUCACAGUAAUGGGAAUAUGCUUCAUUUCCCGAUGUGUAGCAGCCAAGACCUGCGGCGAUGACAUAUCUGCGGGGCCUGAGACUAUGCAGAGAAUGGCAGCAACAGAGAUGGGCAUUAACUCCAAGUGACGGACACCAGACGGGAGAGCAUUCCCUCCCCUAGGCCAUCGGGCUGGGGCAGAAAAAAUAGAGAACCAGUGCCUUAAAUUUGAAAUCAAAUGUCUGGAUUCCUUACAGUCGUGACAUAUUUCCCCCUUCCUGCGACAGAGAAACCGGAUCUAGCAUUAUCGUCUUGCAUCUCUCAAUAACCAUCUUAAAGGAACCUCAACUCAUUCAAAAGUUGCCCAUUGACCCAAGAUUUUGAAAGUUAUGUGCAAGACAAAGGGCAAGCAGAAUGCACACUGGGCCACGGGGAAGCACCUGCCCAGGCAGUGAUGGCCUCUGAACAUUCUGCAGGGGACUCAGUAGAAGCAAUCAAAGAUGGUGUGCGCUGAACAAUGAAGACUAACGGAAACAAGGAAAUGUCUGCAUCCCUCCUCUCUUCUUUUCCCCAGCUCCCAGCCCAGAGCAUCCCAGGAUGGAAAUGUUGGAACUGUCACAUUCCCAGACCCGUUGUAUUCCAUCAGAGCCAGGGAAGAAGAGAUACCAAUUUCUCCUCCUUGGUGAGAAGUAAGGAGGGAGAGGGAAGGAAAUGAACCAGAGGGGGAGGGGAAGAGCACAGCAGAUGGAAAUGCCAUAUAUACACAUCGACAGCCAUUCUUCCAGAAGCCAAGAGACCCAGAAGGAGAAGGAACAACAAGGAAACGGCAGUGAGCAGAACAAGGUUUAAAGAACAAAACAGUCCCUUUGAAAGACAUUCCAUUACAGGCUUGGUUUUCCCCCUGUCCCCAGUUGUAUCAAAUCCUUGAAUGUCAUCUUCACACCUAUAAGCGGCAAUGGCAAGCAUCUUGAAAAGAAUACUCUUAUCCAGAUCCUGUUAUACUGCUCAGGUAUGGAAGUAAAAGUUCAGAAGUUCUCUAUGGGCUAUAGUGCCUAUGGGGAGACACAAGGGAGGGAGGUGGUGGCGGCUGCUGCUGUUGCUGUUUCUGCCUCUGUCUCUCUCUUCCUCUUCUUCUGCUCCCCCCUGCCCCCCCAAAAAAAACAAUGGUUCUCUGUGUAUCCCUGGCUAUCCUAGAGCUAGCUCUGUAGACCAGGCUGGUCUCAAACUCACAGAGAUCCACCUGCCUCUGCCUUUGAGUGCUGGGAUUAAGGGUGUGCACCACCUCCACCCUGCAAGGGCAGGCUUCUUAACAUGUACUGACUUCUGUUCCUGUGUUCAGCUGCCUUCUGAAGUUGGAUGCCCUAGGGGGAAAAAGUUAUGGAACCAGGCUCUCCUAAGUGAAUGUUUUGCAGGAACAACCGGAGGGCUGUCUCGAAAAGAAACCGCCUCAUUUCUUUAAUAGUAGCUAUUCAGACAGCAAGAGGCAAUUUAGAUACUAGCCAGCAAUAUGUGCAAGAUUGGCACAAAUAAUCCACUUCUAUUCUGUUCCAGCUAUUAUGCACUGCCCAACUUCAGUCUGGCUAAAUAGAGUAUUUUCUCCUGAGAUGAUAAGCACCUGACUCUUCAGCUACAGCCACAAUGAUAGCCGCAAUUACACAGGUAAACCACACACCCCAAAUUCUGCUACAAAUGUCAUAGGAUUUUAAGCAAAAUGCACAAAGGAUUCUCUGGUUGUUGUUAUUUGUUUUCCAAGGACAGGAGCAAAAUUGUCAUGGGCAGAAGUAGUUCAUAUGAGAAGUUGGAGAGGUGAUAAGGUGGGUAAAGUGUUUGUCACAUAAGCUGGAUGAGGAGAGGUGAUAAGGUGGGUAAAGUGUUUGUCACAUAAGCUGGAUGAUCUGAGUUGGAUCUCCAGACUCAACAUGAAGAUGGAUAGAGCGGUCAACUGUACAGAGCUGUUCUUUGACUUACACAUAUGAUGUAUUCUGGGACAUAUGCACCUGCAUAGAACACAUCACACACAGACACACACACACAUGCAUACAUGCAUGUGCAUACACACACAGAUGCACAUAUACAUGCAUACACACAGACACACACACACACAUAUACGAGAUGAUUUUUUAAAAGAGAAUUAAUAUGGUAUCUUAUUUUUUUCCUUUCUUUAUGUCAUACAAUUUACGUGGUUAUUUUAUUCACGAUUUCAUCUUCUUCCUUGUCUUUGAUGAACUGACUUUCUGUUCCAAGGUGCAAUCAUGUUUCUCCUGGAGAAUGAGGCAGCAUAUGUUUCUUUUUCUUUUUCUCAAGUAAGAAGUUAUAUUUCUGAAAAACUCACAAGUGCAUAUAUAAAAGGGAGCUUCACUUCUCCUUUGGUGUCAAUUGCUAAAUUACCUCAGUGACCAGUGUGUCUCUGCACACACCUAUUUCUUUAUCUGUCCUAUGAGUGCUAAUAUUGAUUCUACUGCAAUUCCCAGGGACAUGGAAGUCCGAGGGGGCUUCCAGAAGUGUUGUAUUACAAGCUUGUUGAAAAUGUUACAUGGCACGCUGAGCAGUGGUAGCACAUGCCUUUAAUCCCAGAAGUUGGGAGGCAGAGGCAGGCAGAUUUC
Mus musculus (house mouse) is the source of this 9768-nucleotide long non-coding RNA. RefSeq annotates it as predicted gene, 52347. The record is from RefSeq and is a predicted model, not a curated record. NCBI's taxonomy places the organism in Eukaryota, Metazoa, Chordata, Mammalia, Rodentia, Muridae. The transcript has 3 exons.